AACCUAUCGACGGUUUAAACACCACAGCCGCCAACCUCCUCAUACCAAUAUAUACUUCCCAUUUUUUAUUCUGUGUUUUUUUGGAACGAGAAAAAGAAAACAAAAUUAGGUUCUUGUGUUUUUUUCUUUUUCCUAAAUAUAGAUAAAAUUGUGGCAGCUGAGGACGAUGGCCGGAGGCUAGCAGACCACGGUGUUUGUUCCUUGAUCUGAUUGGUUUAAAACCCAAUUGUUGUAUUCCUUCUUUCUCCUCCUUUCUUGUUUUUAGAUUCAAAAUCUAUUUUGAAGAUUUUGUUUGUCUGAGUAUUUAAGAGGUUUCUCAUACUUUGCAUCGAUCCGAAAAAUUUCAAAGGAGCUUUAUCACUAGAAAAGAUGAGGUUUAUCAAGAUUAGUAUAGCAAACCUUCAAUGGCGUCUUAUUCAACAUCAUCGGGUUCUAAAGACUUGACUGUAGACGUGUUUUUGAGGUUCAGAAUUACUUGCUAGCUUCGACCACCGAUACAUCCUUUACAAGCUAAGGAUAAUGAGCGUGCACAAGAACGGUACAUCUUGAGUUCUGCCUAUUUUAAUAGGCUUCCCUGGCCGACACUAGGAGUGAAUCAAAAAGUCAAGUACACCCAGGUCCAAGAGUUCCUGAAUUGCGUAAUCUAAAGGACCGUGUAUCCGCUCUUGAGCAAAAAGUUUAGAAAGAAGAGGAUGGUGAUUGGCUCAUGUUGGAUGAAUUGCUCAAUGAACAUAAGGAUAUUGCCGACACAGGAAUAGGACUUUGCCCGAAGCCACCACCUGUUAAGGAAGAAGCUGUUUAUAUCUUGAAUAAAAAUCGUUUAUGGGAGAUCUUAACACAAUCAGACGAACAGAAGCCUUUCAUCACUGAGGAAGAAUUCAAAAAGUCACACCAUUACCAAAGGUUUGGGGCAGAUUUAGAAGCAAGGAAAAGGAAGUCAAGUUUUCCUUGGAAUAGUGCUAAUGUGAGUAAACCAUCCACCCAUGAUGAAGAAGAAAAGUUCACUGCUUUUAAAAGAGGAGAACCUGUAGAUAUUACCGAGGCAUCGUUGCCCGGGUACAUGAAGAAAGAUUUCAACAAAUUGAAGGCAUUGGUGCAGUCUUAUAUGCCGUGCCCGGUGACACCUUGGAUUGAGAGCCACCUGUGAUUACUUUAUGUAAGAGAUAUAGGUUUCAAUAUCCUAGGUCUGCCCAGCUCCACUAACUGAUAUAACCAACCAAGUCACAGAUUAGACCUGACUUUCCAAACUAGUUGUAAUUUUGAACAAGGAUCUAACACGGGAUGAUCCAUCAAAGCUAUACCCGGUGCCGGGUUAUCAAUACUGGAUUUGCACAAUUUGGGAAAUCUUGAGGGAUGGAAUUUGUUCUUUUCUCGUGAUACAAUCAUAAGACCAUCCUUUUGGAAAUCUUUACUUUGCUUGGAUCAUCAGUCUCUACAAAAUGGUUGGUUGCAUGAUGAGGUUGAUUAUCUGAACGAAACCAGGCCAGAUUGGUGUAUGGUUGACAACCGGUUUUUGACACUUCUAAUGAGGGGCGAUGUAAGCGAGUUAUAUGGAAAUGGCAGUAGGUUUAAAGUGUCCUGGUGAGAAGCUCGCCGGGUAUUCAUUCCGAUUAACAACAAUCAAUAAGCAUUGGACGCUCGACCUCCUUGAUAUACCAACUGGGGUCAUUACCAUAUAGGGUUUAUUCUAUUUACACGAAAUUCCUAUUAAAGUUAUCAUGGAGCUCUACAAGUACCAACGGACAUAGCAGGAGUUAUCAGAAUGUUUAACAACGUCCAAAUAAACCUACCCUUAUAUCUUGAGAGGUUGGUGUAUUCAAUAAGCAAGCAUCGAUAAUCGGUCGUACAACAUAACAUUUGAACCUUUUCUAGAAGAUAUGACCCGUUGACAAGGACAUUUGUAUGGGGUCUGUGGUGUGUUUCAAUGUAUAUUUUUGUAUCGUUUAAGUCAUGGGUUGGGCUUAGAGGUGGAUGAUCCACUCCAAGCUGCGUUAGCAUACCGAGAGCGCAUGGCUAAUCUUUUCAUAGAACAUAAAGAAUGUGCGUCUGAUCUCGCUAAACAACACAGGCUGAAGGCAGCAAAGAUACGGACUUCUUGAAGAAUUGAGUUACUAAAGUUAGGUGUAUUUGGCUGCAAACUUGUACCGAAGUUUGCCUAUUUAUAUGACGGGAUGUAAUGACUACUAGGAUAGGGGAGCUUUUGGCUGCAACUUGUACCAAAGAAUGCUUAGUAAUUUGACUGGAUGUAAUGACUAUUAGCUUGUCGUUUUGAAACCGCUAAUGUUUUUAAUUUUUUUUUGGUAA
Long non-coding RNA from Erigeron canadensis, 2304 nucleotides. RefSeq lists it as uncharacterized. The record is from RefSeq and is a predicted model, not a curated record. The transcript is spliced from 12 exons. NCBI's taxonomy places the organism in Eukaryota, Viridiplantae, Streptophyta, Magnoliopsida, Asterales, Asteraceae.